Anopheles funestus (African malaria mosquito) is the source of this 1948-nucleotide long non-coding RNA. RefSeq lists it as uncharacterized. Lineage: Eukaryota; Metazoa; Arthropoda; Insecta; Diptera; Culicidae. The record is from RefSeq and is a predicted model, not a curated record. The transcript is spliced from 3 exons.
AGGACCCAAGUAGAAAUUGUCAAGCGAAAUAUAGGCCCGAGGGGGUGUGAAGGGUAAAAAUUUGCUCGAAUCGUGAGAUGGAAGAAACUUCGCCGUAGGAAAGAGCAGGACGACGAUAAAAUUCUAUGGUGGUGUUGGUGAACGUCACCCAUCCUAUGGCGGCAUUUUCAAAACAAAAACAAAUCGUAUGUCCUAACGAAUAUAAGCUGAACGUAUUUUCAUAUUUCUUGCGUGUUUUGAGUGUUUUGUAGCUCCCAUUUGGUGAAAAAGUGUUUAAUUAUGUAUAGUACAAAUCGUUUAAAGGAAAGUACAGGGUCAUUCUAUCGUGCUAAAGUUAAUUUGGGACAGUUUUAAAAGGAAUCAGAAGCAGAUAAGUUAGCGCCAGUUCAGAAGGACUAGGUAAGUUGCAUUUCUUUUCUUUGUGUGUUGUGUUUUAUUAUAUUCAUAUAAUAAACCACACGACAACGAGCGUUUAAUUGAACAAAUCUUCUAUGUUUCAGCAAUUGGAUAGCCGUACGCUGCAGAUACAGUGCUUAAAGCGGAAGUACAUGAAGGUUCUAGGGGUGGGAUAGAUUUACGAAACGGAGUGUACGUAGACGAACGACAAUUGGAAUCAAGCCGGAACGAAAGAAGAGGGAGUCUAAAACCACCUUUCAAUGUGCCGCUACGAGUUGACAAACAGUUGAUAACUGUUGUAGGAUGUCAGUUGAAGGCUUGUAAAGUGUUCUUGGAUAUUGUUUUCGGUCGACCAGAAAUAGUUUGUAGGAAACCCACUCACUGUUGCGACAUCCGACUGAUUAAUCUGCAUUUGGCUCGAUCAAUGAGCUGGCUAAGCUCCUAUACGAAUCGUGCCGAACGGAUAGCUGUUGAGCAACGUCCUGGGAGGACAUGAGCCUAACUUCUUCUAACGGUUGCAUGUUAGCGUUAGUAUUAAAGAAUUAGCAUAAUUGUUUAGUCAAAAAGCUUAACUAGCUCUCUACGCAAGCGUAUGUGUCGACAAUGUAAACAAAAAUAAUAAACGCGUAGAUUUCCUUUGCCAGGAUAGUCCUAUAGAAGUGAUCAGAUAAGAUGUAGGUAACUAAAGUUUCGCUAUAAAGGAUGGUGUUAUGUAAAUUGCCCUUAACUUCAAAUUCAAGUAAAAAGAGUAUAACUAUACUGUAAGUUAGAACAGUACCGGAUCAUUAUGCCACUUAUAUGUAGAAUAACAGAAUUUAAGAACUGGAUAAGGCAUGCCGAAACUUCGCCAGGUUGAAAAAAAACAUGCGCGUAUAUUUUAGUUAAAAUAAUGGUGAUUACGUAUAGUGCAUAGUAAGGAGUUGUCCUUUCCUACAAAAAAUGUAAAGCUUUGAAAAGAAGAUACGUUACGUAUUGUACCGAAGGCAUUGUUUAAAGCGAUAAGAAACUGUAUACAGAUUCGUAAGAUCAAUAAAUUACAAAAUCAAAUCUAAUUUACAUAAUCGUUUUAUCAUUGUAAUAUCCAAACCAAAUAAAAGCUACGUCGAACAUGAACAAUAAAAAAUAACGUUGGCGUUCCACCGUCUAAAAAGCACCAAACACAUUUGUUUAGACGCCAGCCGCAGAUCGAUAAAAAAGAUCAUGUGAAUAGCAGCGAUUCCGUUACAACCAUGGACCAUGCCUGAAACCUCGGUGAGUAAAGAAAUUUUCUCUAAUUAAAAAAUAUAUGUUCUCUCUUCCUAUCUCAUUCGCAGACACAAAUCUAAAUAUAGAUCGGAUAUCUACAACAGUCGCGCUGUUGUAAGGAAUUAGAAGCAAGCAAAGGAUCACACAUAACCUCUUUUUUUCGCCUACGGUAAGGCCAGCUGACAAGUAGGUGUAAAUGUGUUCGUGUCGCCAUGGUUUUUCUUGUGUGCGUGCCAUCCGACCCCCCGAUAAGCUGCCGCGCGGUCGAGUCCAUUAAAAAAAGCCAAAAAACUGCUCGAUAUUUCUA